RNAcentral lists this ribosomal RNA (370 nucleotides) under uncultured eukaryote. RNAcentral's name for it is "partial 18S ribosomal RNA". It matches the Rfam family "Eukaryotic small subunit ribosomal RNA", at positions 592 to 976 of the family's 1831-position model. The record is from RNAcentral.
CAAUAGCGUAUAUUAAAGUUGUUGCAGUUAAAAAGCUCGUAGUUGGAUUUCUGGUCGGAAGCUCCUGUCCUCUGAUGAGCGUACAAGUGCGUCCUACCAUCCUUCUGUUAACCUUUAAGGCUUUCGCGGCUUUCUAGGGGCUCAGAUAUUUUACCUUGAGAAAAUUAGAGUGUUUCAGGCAGGCUAGCGCCGGAAUACAUUAGCAUGGAAUAAUGGAAUAGGACUUUUGCCUCUUCUGUUGGUCAUGAGGCUCGAGUAAUGAUUAAUAGGGAUAGUUGGGGGCAUUAGUACUUAACUGUCAGAGGUGAAAUUCUCGGAUUUGUUAAAGACUAACUUAUGCGAAAGCAUUUGCCAAGGAUGUUUNCAUUAG